AGAGUUUGAUCAUGGCUCAGAACGAACGCUGGCGGCAGGCUUAACACAUGCAAGUCGAACGGUCUCUUCGGAGGCAGUGGCAGACGGGUGAGUAAUGCAUGGGAAUCUACCGUUCUCUACGGAAUAACUCAGGGAAACUUGUGCUAAUACCGUAUACGCCCUUUUGGGGAAAGAUUUAUCGGAGAAUGAUGAGCCCAUGUUGGAUUAGCUAGUUGGUAGGGUAAAGGCCUACCAAGGCGACGAUCCAUAGCUGGUCUGAGAGGAUGAUCAGCCACACUGGGACUGAGACACGGCCCAGACUCCUACGGGAGGCAGCAGUGGGGAAUAUUGGACAAUGGGCGCAAGCCUGAUCCAGCCAUGCCGCGUGAGUGAUGAAGGCCCUAGGGUUGUAAAGCUCUUUCACCGGUGAAGAUAAUGACGGUAACCGGAGAAGAAGCCCCGGCUAACUUCGUGCCAGCAGCCGCGGUAAUUC
RNAcentral lists this ribosomal RNA (472 nucleotides) under uncultured bacterium. RNAcentral describes it as "bacterial SSU rRNA". It matches the Rfam family "Bacterial small subunit ribosomal RNA", at positions 8 to 526 of the family's 1533-position model. The record is from RNAcentral.